This 2190-nucleotide ribosomal RNA is filed under the name Campylobacter jejuni. Its description in RNAcentral is "partial 23S ribosomal RNA". It matches the Rfam family "Bacterial large subunit ribosomal RNA", at positions 1 to 2147 of the family's 2925-position model. Lineage: Bacteria; Pseudomonadati; Campylobacterota; Epsilonproteobacteria; Campylobacterales; Campylobacteraceae. The record is from RNAcentral.
AAAAAAGGUAAGCUACUAAGAGCGAAUGGUGGAUGCCUUGACUGGUAAAGGCGAUGAAGGACGUACUAGACUGCGAUAAGCUACGGGGAGCUGUCAAGAAGCUUUGAUCCGUAGAUUUCCGAAUGGGGCAACCCAAUGUAUAGAGAUAUACAUUACCUAUAUAGGAGCGAACGAGGGGAAUUGAAACAUCUUAGUACCCUCAGGAAAAGAAAUCAAUAGAGAUUGCGUCAGUAGCGGCGAGCGAAAGCGCAAGAGGGCAAACCCAGUGCUUGCACUGGGGGUUGUAGGACUGCAAUGUGCAAGAGCUGAGUUUAGCAGAACAUUCUGGAAAGUAUAGCCAUAGAGGGUGAUAGUCCCGUAUGCGAAAAACAAAGCUUAGCUAGCAGUAUCCUGAGUAGGGCGGGACACGAGGAAUCCUGUCUGAAUCCGGGUCGACCACGAUCCAACCCUAAAUACUAAUACCAGAUCGAUAGUGCACAAGUACCGUGAGGGAAAGGUGAAAAGAACUGAGGUGAUCAGAGUGAAAUAGAACCUGAAACCAUUUGCUUACAAUCAUUCAGAGCACUAUGUAGCAAUACAGUGUGAUGGACUGCCUUUUGCAUAAUGAGCCUGCGAGUUGUGGUGUCUGGCAAGGUUAAGCAAACGCGAAGCCGUAGCGAAAGCGAGUCUGAAUAGGGCGCUUAGUCAGAUGCUGCAGACCCGAAACGAAGUGAUCUAUCCAUGAGCAAGUUGAAGCUAGUGUAAGAACUAGUGGAGGACUGAACCCAUAGGCGUUGAAAAGCCCCGGGAUGACUUGUGGAUAGGGGUGAAAGGCCAAUCAAACUUCGUGAUAGCUGGUUCUCUCCGAAAUAUAUUUAGGUAUAGCGUUGUGUCGUAAUAUAAGGGGGUAGAGCACUGAAUGGGCUAGGGCAUACACCAAUGUACCAAACCCUAUCAAACUCCGAAUACCUUAUAUGUAAUCACAGCAGUCAGGCGGCGAGUGAUAAAAUCCGUCGUCAAGAGGGAAACAACCCAGACUACCAGCUAAGGUCCCUAAAUCUUACUUAAGUGGAAAACGAUGUGAAGUUACUUAAACAACCAGGAGGUUGGCUUAGAAGCAGCCAUCCUUUAAAGAAAGCGUAAUAGCUCACUGGUCUAGUGAUUUUGCGCGGAAAAUAUAACGGGGCUAAAGUAAGUACCGAAGCUGUAGACUUGCACACAACUUAGAUUAUUUAAGUUUAGAAUAAGUAGUUUAAGUUGUGUGCAAGUGGUAGGAGAGCGUUCUAUUUGCGUCGAAGGUAUACCGGUAAGGAGUGCUGGAGCGAAUAGAAGUGAGCAUGCAGGCAUGAGUAGCGAUAAUUAAUGUGAGAAUCAUUAACGCCGUAAACCCAAGGUUUCCUACGCGAUGCUCGUCAUCGUAGGGUUAGUCGGGUCCUAAGUCGAGUCCGAAAGGGGUAGACGAUGGCAAAUUGGUUAAUAUUCCAAUACCAACAUUAGUGUGCGAUGGAAGGACGCUUAGGGCUAAGGGGGCUAGCGGAUGGAAGUGCUAGUCUAAGGUUGUAGGAGGUUAUACAGGCAAAUCCGUAUAACAAUACUCCGAGAACUGAAAGGCUUUUUGAAGUCUUCGGAUGGAUAGAAGAACCCCUGAUGCCGUCGAGCCAAGAAAAGUUUCUAAGUUUAGCUAAUGUUGCCCGUACCGUAAACCGACACAGGUGGGUGGGAUGAGUAUUCUAAGGCGCGUGGAAGAACUCUCUUUAAGGAACUCUGCAAAAUAGCACCGUAUCUUCGGUAUAAGGUGUGGUUAGCUUCGUACUAGGAUUUACUCCGAAAGCGAAGAAACUUACAACAAAGAGUCCCUCCCGACUGUUUACCAAAAACACAGCACUCUGCUAACUCGUAAGAGGAUGUAUAGGGUGUGACGCCUGCCCGGUGCUCGAAGGUUAAUUGAUGGGGUUAGCAUUAGCGAAGCUCUUGAUCGAAGCCCGAGUAAACGGCGGCCGUAACUAUAACGGUCCUAAGGUAGCGAAAUUCCUUGUCGGUUAAAUACCGACCUGCAUGAAUGGCGUAACGAGAUGGGAGCUGUCUCAAAGAGGGAUCCAGUGAAAUUGUAGUGGAGGUGAAAAUUCCUCCUACCCGCGGCAAGACGGAAAGACCCCGUGGACCUUUACUACAGCUUGACACUGCUACUUGGAUAAGAAUGUGCAGGAUAGG